UCAAACACCUUGUAGAGGGUGUCCUAUUGAUGCAAACUGCUCUCGUUUGCCAUUGUCUGUCACCACUGAUGGAUAGUGCAGCAGAUUGAUUGGCCAGUUUCAACAGCCAUCCAUCAGCAUCAUCUUCAGGGAUUACAAUUCAGAAGGAGCAUUGUCUGCAGUGCCUGUGUUGAUCAUUCCCAACUGACAAGAGCUACCUUUAAAUAAAAGACCAAAUACCAAGUUGCAGACUUUUCCUUCUGGAAAGACAAAGGUGGAAUGACGGCAGCAAAAUACCACACAUAACCCCUGUCUACUACCCUGCAUUGGUAGAAAUAGCAAGUUCCAGACCGUACUGUGUGUGGUCAUCUGGGAAAAUAAUCACAGACAUCACCUUUAUCAGGCAGAUUCAAAGAGAAAGGAUGGAAAGCAGCUUCGUCAUAACUACCAAUUGUUAAGUAUUACUGUUUAAGUCAUUUACUUAAUAAA
Long non-coding RNA from Stegostoma tigrinum, 468 nucleotides. RefSeq lists it as uncharacterized. The record is from RefSeq and is a predicted model, not a curated record. The transcript is spliced from 3 exons. NCBI's taxonomy places the organism in Eukaryota, Metazoa, Chordata, Chondrichthyes, Orectolobiformes, Stegostomatidae.